RNAcentral lists this ribosomal RNA (265 nucleotides) under uncultured bacterium. RNAcentral describes it as "partial 16S ribosomal RNA". It matches the Rfam family "Bacterial small subunit ribosomal RNA", at positions 30 to 293 of the family's 1533-position model. The record is from RNAcentral.
AUUGAACGCUGGCGGCGUGCCUAACACAUGCAAGUCGAGCGGUAACAGGUGUAGCAAUACAUGCUAACGAGCGGCGGACGGGUGAGCAAUAUUUGGGAAUCUGCCUAUUAGUGGGGGAUAACCCGGGGAAACUCGGGCUAAUACCGCAUACGCUCUACGGAGGAAAGCCGGGGACCNCAAGGCCUGGCGCUAGUAGAUGAGCCCAAAUCGGAUUAGCUAGUUGGUGAGGUAACGGCUCACCAAGGCGACGAUCCGUAGCUGGUUU